AGAGCUGUAGUCAAUGCUAGUCCUACUCAGAGCAGACCCUUUGAAAUGAAUGAGCAUGACUUUAGUUUCAUUAAUUUCAAUGGGUCUUCUCUGAGUAGGGCUAGCAUUGGCUACAACCCC
Molecule: non-coding RNA, 120 nt
Organism: Podarcis lilfordi (Lilford's wall lizard)
Lineage: Eukaryota; Metazoa; Chordata; Lepidosauria; Squamata; Lacertidae
Source: the annotation of a GenBank genome assembly